GGAGUUAGCCGGUGCUUCUUCUGUGAGUGAUGUCCUUCCUGCCGGCUAUUAACCCGCAGUCCUUCUUCCUCACUGAAAGUGCUUUACAACCCGAAGGCCUUCUUCACACACGCGGCAUGGCUGGAUCAGGGUUGCCCCCAUUGUCCAAUAUUCCCCACUGCUGCCUCCCGUAGGAGUCUGGGCCGUGUCUCAGUCCCAGUGUGGCUGAUCAUCCUCUCAGACCAGCUACGGAUCGUCGCCUUGGUGAGCCGUUACCUCACCAACCAGCUAAUCCGACAUAGGCUCAUCCGAUAGCGCGAGGCCCGAAGGUCCCCCGCUUUCCCCCGUAGGGCGUAUGCGGUAUUAGCCUGGGUUUCCCCAGGUUAUCCCCCACUACCGGGCAGAUUCCUAUGCAUUACUCACCCGUCCGCCGCUCGCCACCAUGGAGCAAGCUCCCCGUGCUGCCGCUCGACUUGCAUGUGUUAGGCCUGCCGCCAGCGUUCAAUCUGAGCCAGAAUCAAACUCUGA
Molecule: ribosomal RNA, 507 nt
Filed under: uncultured bacterium
Lineage: Bacteria
Description: partial 16S ribosomal RNA
Source: RNAcentral